UACGUAGGGGGCGAGCGUUGUCCGGAAUCAUUGGGCGUAAAGCGCGUGUAGGCGGUCCGGUAAGUCCGUUGUGAAAGUCGGGGGCUCAACCCUCGAAUGCCGGUGGAUACUGUCGGGCUAGAGUGCGGAAGAGGCGAGUGGAAUUCCUGGUGUAGCGGUGAAAUGCGCAGAUAUCAGGAGGAACACCAAUUGCGAAGGCAGCUCGCUGGGACGUAACUGACGCUGAGACGCGAAAGCGUGGGGAGCAAACAGG
Molecule: ribosomal RNA, 253 nt
Filed under: uncultured bacterium
Lineage: Bacteria
Description: partial 16S ribosomal RNA
Rfam family: Bacterial small subunit ribosomal RNA
Source: RNAcentral